This 440-nucleotide ribosomal RNA is filed under the name uncultured bacterium. RNAcentral's name for it is "partial 16S ribosomal RNA". It matches the Rfam family "Bacterial small subunit ribosomal RNA", at positions 338 to 795 of the family's 1533-position model. The record is from RNAcentral.
CCUACGGGCGGCAGCAGUGGGGAAUAUUGCACAAUGGGGGGAACCCUGAUGCAGCGACGCCGCGUGAGUGAAGAAGUAUUUCGGUAUGUAAAGCUCUAUCAGCAGGGAAGAAAAUGACGGUACCUGACUAAGAAGCCCCGGCUAACUACGUGCCAGCAGCCGCGGUAAGACGUAGGGGGCAAGCGUUAUCCGGAUUUACUGGGUGUAAAGGGAGCGUAGACGGUUAUGCAAGUCUGAAGGGAAAGCCAAAGGCUCAACCAUGGGACUGCUUUGGAAACUGUAAAACUGGAGUGCAGGAGAGGUAAGCGGAAUUCCUAGGGUAGCGGUGAAAUGCGGAGAUAUUAGGAGGAACACCAGUGGCGAAGGCGGCUUACUGGACUGUAACUGACGUUGAGGCUCGAAGGCGUGGGGAGCAAACAGGAUUAGAUACCCGGGUAGUC